ACGAUUGUGAUGAAAUUGGUAGACAUGAUUGAUUUAGGUCCAGUUGAUUUAUGAUCAUCGUGCAGGUUCGAGUAGUCCUACCAAUCGUA
Molecule: transfer RNA, 89 nt
Filed under: Parasitella parasitica
Lineage: Eukaryota; Fungi; Mucoromycota; Mucoromycetes; Mucorales; Mucoraceae
Source: Rfam by way of RNAcentral